RNAcentral lists this transfer RNA (91 nucleotides) under Peptococcaceae bacterium. Its description in RNAcentral is "tRNA-Ser". It matches the Rfam family "tRNA". Rfam says of the family: Transfer RNA (tRNA) molecules are approximately 80 nucleotides in length. Their secondary structure includes four short double-helical elements and three loops (D, anti-codon, and T loops). Further hydrogen bonds mediate the characteristic L-shaped molecular structure. tRNAs have two regions of fundamental functional importance: the anti-codon, which is responsible for specific mRNA codon recognition, and the 3' end, to which the tRNAs corresponding amino acid is attached (by aminoacyl-tRNA synthetases). tRNAs cope with the degeneracy of the genetic code in two manners: having more than one tRNA (with a specific anti-codon) for a particular amino acid; and 'wobble' base-pairing, i.e. permitting non-standard base-pairing at the 3rd anti-codon position. RNAcentral also lists the same sequence under 1 other name. The record is from RNAcentral. Lineage: Bacteria; Bacillati; Bacillota; Clostridia; Eubacteriales; Peptococcaceae.
GGAGAGAUGGCCGAGUGGAUGAAGGCGCACGCCUGGAGAGCGUGUGGACGGUUGUACCGUCUCGUGGGUUCGAAUCCCACUCUCUCCGCCA